AACAAACGCUGGCGGCGUGCCUAAUACAUGCAAGUCGAACGAGGAAAGCUUUCGGGUGAGUACUAGUGGCGCACGGGUGAGGAAUAUAUGGGUAAUCUGCCCUCGAGUUGGGGAUAACCAGUCGAAAGACUGGCUAAUACCGAAUAAGACCACAGGAUCUGCGGAUCUAGGGGUUAAAGGUUUUUCGCUUGAGGAUGAGCCCAUACGGGAUUAGCUAGUUGGCGAGGUAAUGGCUCACCAAGGCUACGAUCCCCAACUGGUCUUAGAGGAUGAUCAGUCACACUGGAACUGAGACACGGUCCAGACUCCUACGGGAGGCAGCAGUAGGGAAUAUUGCACAAUGGGGGAAACCCUGAUGCAGCGACGCCGCGUGAGUGAUGAAGGCCUUCGGGUCGUAAAGCUCUGUCGUAUGGGACUAACACAAUGAAGGUACCAUGCAAGAAAGGAUCGGCUAACUUCGUGCCAGCCGCCGCAGUAA
RNAcentral lists this ribosomal RNA (478 nucleotides) under uncultured bacterium. RNAcentral describes it as "partial 16S ribosomal RNA". It matches the Rfam family "Bacterial small subunit ribosomal RNA", at positions 29 to 523 of the family's 1533-position model. The record is from RNAcentral.